GCGGCAGGCCUAACACAUGCAAGUCGAACGGUAACAGGAAGAAGCUUGCUUCUUUGCUGACGAGUGGCGGACGGGUGAGUAAUGUCUGGGAAACUGCCUGAUGGAGGGGGAUAACUACUGGAAACGGUAGCUAAUACCGCAUAACGUCGCAAGACCAAAGAGGGGGACCUUCGGGCCUCUUGCCAUCGGAUGUGCCCAGAUGGGAUUAGCUUGUGGUGGGGUAACGGCUCACCAGGCGACGAUCCCUAGCUGGUCUGAGAGGAUGACCAGCCACACUGGAACUGAGACACGGUCCAGACUCCUACGGGAGGCAGCAGUGGGGAAUAUUGCACAAUGGGCGCAAGCCUGAUGCAGCCAUGCCGCGUGUAUGAAGAAGGCCUUCGGGUUGUAAAGUACUUUCAGCGGGGAGGAAGGGAGUAAAGUUAAUACCUUUGCUCAUUGACGUUACCCGCAGAAGAAGCACCGGCUAACUCCGUGCCAGCAGCCGCGGUAAUACGGAGGGUGCAAGCGUUAAUCGGAAUUACUGGGCGUAAAGCGCACGCAGGCGGUUUGUUAAGUCAGAUGUGAAAUCCCCGGGCUCAACCUGGGAACUGCAUCUGAUACUGGCAAGCUUGAGUCUCGUAGAGGGGGGUAGAAUUCCAGGUGUAGCGGUGAAAUGCGUAGAGAUCUGGAGGAAUACCGGUGGCGAAGGCGGCCCCCUGA
RNAcentral lists this ribosomal RNA (702 nucleotides) under Escherichia sp. RNAcentral's name for it is "bacterial SSU rRNA". It matches the Rfam family "Bacterial small subunit ribosomal RNA", at positions 39 to 732 of the family's 1533-position model. Lineage: Bacteria; Pseudomonadati; Pseudomonadota; Gammaproteobacteria; Enterobacterales; Enterobacteriaceae. The record is from RNAcentral.